CUACGGGUGGCUGCAGUGGGGAAUCUUGCGCAAUGGACGAAAGUCUGACGCAGCGACGCCGCGUGGGUGAUGAAGGCCUUCGGGUCGUAAAGCCCUGUUCUGGGGGAAGAAACCACUUCGGUGCUGACGGUACCCCAGAAGAAAGCACAGGCUAACCCCGUGCCAGCAGCCGCGGUAAUACGGAGUGUGCUAGCGUUGUUCGGAUUUACUGGGCGUAAAGCGCAUGUAGGUGGCUUGACAAGUCGGAUGUGAAAUCCCGUGGCUCAACCUCGGAACUGCAUUCGAAACUGUCUUGCUUGAGUCCGGGAGGGGGUUGCGGAAUUCCGUGUGUAGAGGUGAAAUUCGUAGAUAUACGGAGGAACACCCGUGGCGAAGGCGGCAACCUGGACCGGUACUGGCGCUGAGAUGCGAAAGCGUGGGGAGCAAACAGGAUUAGAUACCCUCGUAGUC
Molecule: ribosomal RNA, 450 nt
Filed under: uncultured bacterium
Lineage: Bacteria
Description: partial 16S ribosomal RNA
Rfam family: Bacterial small subunit ribosomal RNA
Source: RNAcentral